This 471-nucleotide ribosomal RNA is filed under the name uncultured bacterium. Its description in RNAcentral is "bacterial SSU rRNA". It matches the Rfam family "Bacterial small subunit ribosomal RNA", at positions 29 to 524 of the family's 1533-position model. The record is from RNAcentral.
AGCGAACGUUUGCGGCGGGCCUAACACAUGCAAGUCGAACGGGCUAGCAAUAGUCAGUGGCGCACGGGUGCGUAACACGUGGGUAAUCAACCCUUCAGCUCGGGAUAACGCCUUGAAAGGGGCGCUAAUACCGGAUACGACGCGAGGAGCUUCGGCUGCUUGCGGAAAGAUUCGCAAGGAUCUCUGAAGGACGAGCCUGCGGCCCAUCAGCUAGUUGGUGAGGUAAGAGCUCACCAAGGCGAAGACGGGUAGCUGGUCUGAGAGGAUGAUCAGCCACACUGGAACUGAGACACGGUCCAGACUCCUACGGGAGGCAGCAGUGGGAAUAUUGGACAAUGGGCGAAAGCCUGAUCCAGCAAUGCCGCGUGAGUGAUGAAGGCCUUAGGGUUGUAAAGCUCUUUUACCCGAGAUGAUAAUGACAGUAUCGGGAGAAUAAGCUCCGGCUAACUCCGUGCCAGCAGCCGCGGUAAU